AGAGUUUGAUCCUGGCUCAGAUUGAACGCUGGCGGCAGGCCUAACACAUGCAAGUCGAACGGUAACAGGAAGCAGCUUGCUGCUUCGCUGACGAGUGGCGGACGGGUGAGUAAUGUCUGGGAAACUGCCUGAUGGAGGGGGAUAACUACUGGAAACGGUGGCUAAUACCGCAUAACGUCGCAAGACCAAAGAGGGGGACCUUCGGGCCUCUUGCCAUCAGAUGUGCCCAGAUGGGAUUAGCUAGUUGGUGAGGUAACGGCUCACCAAGGCGACGAUCCCUAGCUGGUCUGAGAGGAUGACCAGCCACACUGGAACUGAGACACGGUCCAGACUCCUACGGGAGGCAGCAGUGGGGAAUAUUGCACAAUGGGCGCAAGCCUGAUGCAGCCAUGCCGCGUGUAUGAAGAAGGCCUUCGGGUUGUAAAGUAUUUUCAGCGGGGAGGAAGGUGUUGUGGUUAAUAACCACAGCAAUUGACGUUACCCGCAGAAGAAGCACCGGCUAACUCCGUGCCAGCAGCCGCGGUAAUACGGAGGGUGCAAGCGUUAAUCGGAAUUACUGGGCGUAAAGCGCACGCAGGCGGUCUGUCAAGUCGGAUGUGAAAUCCCCGGGCUCAACCUGGGAACUGCAUUCGAAACUGGCAGGCUUGAGUCUUGUAGAGGGGGGUAGAAUUCCAGGUGUAGCGGUGAAAUGCGUAGAGAUCUGGAGGAAUACCGGUGGCGAAGGCGGCCCCCUGGACAAAGACUGACGCUCAGGUGCGAAAGCGUGGGGAGCAAACAGGAUUAGAUACCCUGGUAGUCCACGCCGUAAACGAUGUCUACUUGGAGGUUGUGCCCUUGAGGCGUGGCUUCCGGAGCUAACGCGUUAAGUAGACCGCCUGGGGAGUACGGCCGCAAGGUUAAAACUCAAAUGAAUUGACGGGGGCCCGCACAAGCGGUGGAGCAUGUGGUUUAAUUCGAUGCAACGCGAAGAACCUUACCUGGUCUUGACAUCCACAGAACUUUCCAGAGAUGGAUUGGUGCCUUCGGGAACUGUGAGACAGGUGCUGCAUGGCUGUCGUCAGCUCGUGUUGUGAAAUGUUGGGUUAAGUCCCGCAACGAGCGCAACCCUUAUCCUUUGUUGCCAGCGGUCCGGCCGGGAACUCAAAGGAGACUGCCAGUGAUAAACUGGAGGAAGGUGGGGAUGACGUCAAGUCAUCAUGGCCCUUACGACCAGGGCUACACACGUGCUACAAUGGCGCAUACAAAGAGAAGCGACCUCGCGAGAGCAAGCGGACCUCAUAAAGUGCGUCGUAGUCCGGAUUGGAGUCUGCAACUCGACUCCAUGAAGUCGGAAUCGCUAGUAAUCGUGGAUCAGAAUGCCACGGUGAAUACGUUCCCGGGCCUUGUACACACCGCCCGUCACACCAUGGGAGUGGGUUGCAAAAGAAGUAGGUAGCUUAACCUUCGGGAGGCCGCUUACCACUUUGUGAUUCAUGACUGGGGUGAAGUCGUAACAAGGUAGCC
RNAcentral lists this ribosomal RNA (1503 nucleotides) under Salmonella sp. RNAcentral's name for it is "bacterial SSU rRNA". It matches the Rfam family "Bacterial small subunit ribosomal RNA". Lineage: Bacteria; Pseudomonadati; Pseudomonadota; Gammaproteobacteria; Enterobacterales; Enterobacteriaceae. The record is from RNAcentral.